This 575-nucleotide ribosomal RNA is filed under the name Cercozoa sp. COHH 25. RNAcentral's name for it is "SSU rRNA". It matches the Rfam family "Eukaryotic small subunit ribosomal RNA", at positions 499 to 1069 of the family's 1831-position model. The record is from RNAcentral. Lineage: Eukaryota; Cercozoa.
GGUCUGGCAAUUGGAAUGAGUACAAUUUAAAUCCCUUAACGAGGAUCCACUGGAGGGCAAGUCUGGUGCCAGCAGCCGCGGUAAUUCCAGCUCCAGUAGCGUAUAUUAAAGUUGUUGCAGUUAAAAAGCUCGUAGUUGGAUUUCUGGCGUGGUGCGCCCGGCCCGCCGCCGCUAAGGCGGCGAGUGCCGGCGCGCGCCUGCCAUCCUUCUGGAGAGUGUGCCUGCCCUUCACUGGGUUGGGCACGCGAUCUAGAUCGUUUACUUUGAAAAAAUUAGAGUGCUUAAAGCAGGCUUACGCUUCUGAAUACAUUAGCAUGGAAUAAUAAGAUAGGACUUUGGUUCUAUUUUGUUGGUUUCUAGAACUAAAGUAAUGAUUGAUAGGGACAGUUGGGGGUGCUAGUAUUUAACGGCCAGAGGUGAAAUUCUUGGAUUCGUUAAAGACUAACUAAUGCGAAAGCAUUCACCAAGGAUGUCUUCUUUAAUCAAGAACGAAAGUUGGGGGAUCGAAGAGGAUCAGAUACCCUCGUAGUCUCAACCAUAAACGAUACCGACUAGGGAUCGGUGGACGCUGUUUU